GCCUCCGUGGUGUAGCGGUCAGCACGCUCGACGCGUAAUCGAGAGGUCCGUGGUUCGAUUCCCGGCGGAGGCG
This 73-nucleotide transfer RNA is filed under the name Stegodyphus mimosarum. RNAcentral's name for it is "tRNA-Thr for anticodon CGU". It matches the Rfam family "tRNA". Rfam says of the family: Transfer RNA (tRNA) molecules are approximately 80 nucleotides in length. Lineage: Eukaryota; Metazoa; Arthropoda; Arachnida; Araneae; Eresidae. The record is from Rfam by way of RNAcentral.